AACGUAGGAGACAAACGUUAUCCGGAGUUACUGGGCGUAAAGGGCGUGUAGGUGGUUGCGUAAGUCUGGCGUGAAAUAUCUCGGCUUAACCGAGGCAGGUCGUCGGAUACUGCGUAACUAGAGGACGGUAGAGGCGUGUGGAAUUCCGGGUGUAGUGGUGAAAUGCGUAGAGAUCCGGAGGAACACCAGUGGCGAAGGCGACACGCUGGGCCGUACCUGACACUGAUGCGCGAAAGCUCGGGGAGCGAACGGG
This 253-nucleotide ribosomal RNA is filed under the name uncultured bacterium. RNAcentral's name for it is "partial 16S ribosomal RNA". It matches the Rfam family "Bacterial small subunit ribosomal RNA", at positions 524 to 776 of the family's 1533-position model. The record is from RNAcentral.